Long non-coding RNA from Herpailurus yagouaroundi (jaguarundi), 875 nucleotides. RefSeq lists it as uncharacterized. The record is from RefSeq and is a predicted model, not a curated record. Lineage: Eukaryota; Metazoa; Chordata; Mammalia; Carnivora; Felidae. The transcript is spliced from 5 exons.
UGUGAUAGAAUGACUUUUGUGUCCCCCCCCCACCCCCAGCUUCUUAUGUUGAAGCCCAAUCCCCGAUAUAAUAGUAUUUGAAGGCAGAGAUUUGGGGAGGCAAAUAGGUCAUGAAGGUGGAGCCCUCAUGAAUGGGAUUAAUGUCGUCAUAAAAGAGACGCCAGAAAGCUCGUUCACCCCCUUCUGCCUUAUGAGGACACGGGGAGAAGAUAGCCAACUGUGAACUAGGAAGCCAGCCCUCACCAGACAGAAAAUCUGUCAGUGCUCUGAUCUUGGACUUCCCAGACUCCAGAACUUGAAGGUUUCUAGGUCCACGUCUUGGAUUCUAAAAUCAGAGAAGCUAAUUCAGAUGUGUGAUGACGAGGACUCUCAUGGAUGGGGUUUGGGGACAUAUAGAAAGAAUGACAACAUUUCCACAGAAUAAGAAAGAGAAAGAGGGAAGACAAACGAAAACACAUCUACUAAACAAAUAUGGCUUUGUUCCAGCACAGCGCAAGUAUAACUUUACCUACAAAAUGAUUUUAAAAUGCACUUGACAAGAGGGUUUAUUAUGUCAUUAAUGUGCUUCCAGGCCUGUUUUAUUUUUGCAGUUGGCAAUUGCCAUAGCAACUUUAGAAGUUCAGAACUUCCUGGUGCUUCCUUUCUGUACAGAGAGUUCUUUCUUGUAUGUACUGAGUAAUGAAUGGCAAAGUGAAGAAAGGAUGAAAUGAAUACAUAAGGGAAUGAAAGAACGACCAAAACAGCAAUAUUCACCUUAUCUGGUUCCUCUGCUGGCACUAGUAAACUACUCAUAAUGUUCUAACGCAUGGUUUCCUAAGGAAAAACUCUAUAAAAGCCUCAAUCACCAGGUGGUGUAAAAUAAAUUUUGAAAUGAU